Molecule: ribosomal RNA, 680 nt
Filed under: Citrobacter amalonaticus
Lineage: Bacteria; Pseudomonadati; Pseudomonadota; Gammaproteobacteria; Enterobacterales; Enterobacteriaceae
Description: partial 23S ribosomal RNA
Rfam family: Bacterial large subunit ribosomal RNA
Source: RNAcentral
ACAGUGUCUGGUGGGUAGUUUGACUGGGGCGGUCUCCUCCUAAAGAGUAACGGAGGAGCACGAAGGUUAGCUAAUCCUGGUCGGACAUCAGGAGGUUAGUGCAAAGGCAUAAGCUAGCUUGACUGCGAGCGUGACGGCGCGAGCAGGUGCGAAAGCAGGUCUUAGUGAUCCGGUGGUUCUGAAUGGAAGGGCCAUCGCUCAACGGAUAAAAGGUACUCCGGGGAUAACAGGCUGAUACCGCCCAAGAGUUCAUAUCGACGGCGGUGUUUGGCACCUCGAUGUCGGCUCAUCACAUCCUGGGGCUGAAGUAGGUCCCAAGGGUAUGGCUGUUCGCCAUUUAAAGUGGUACGCGAGCUGGGUUUAGAACGUCGUGAGACAGUUCGGUCCCUAUCUGCCGUGGGCGCUGGAGAAUUGAGGGGGGCUGCUCCUAGUACGAGAGGACCGGAGUGGACGCAUCACUGGUGUUCGGGUUGUCAUGCCAAUGGCACUGCCCGGUAGCUAAAUGCGGAAGAGAUAAGUGCUGAAAGCAUCUAAGCACGAAACUUGCCCCGAGAUGAGUUCUCCCUGACCCUUUAAGGGUCCUGAAGGAACGUUGAAGACGACGACGUUGAUAGGCCGGGUGUGUAAGCGCAGCGAUGCGUUGAGCUAACCGGUACUAAUGAACCGUGAGGCUUAACCUU